UACAGAGGCCUCAAGCGGUGUUCGGAAUUACUGGGCGUAAAGAGAAUGUAGGUGGUGAUGCAAGUCAGAUGUGAAAGCCCUGGGCUUAACCCGGGAACUGCAUUUGAAACUGCAUCGCUGGAGUGCGGAAGAGGAGAGAGGAAUUCCUGGUGUAGGGGUGAAAUCCGUAGAUAUCAGGAGGAAUACCGACGGCGAAGGCAUCUCUCUGGUCCGUUACUGACACUGAGAUUCGAAAGCAUGGGUAGCAAACAGG
Molecule: ribosomal RNA, 253 nt
Filed under: uncultured bacterium
Lineage: Bacteria
Description: partial 16S ribosomal RNA
Rfam family: Bacterial small subunit ribosomal RNA
Source: RNAcentral